GUCUUAAAUGUAAUGCUGUGAAUGUAAAACUGCAGGCAGUGUAUGCUUCAGGAGUAACGUUAAUUCAGAAAUGAAUGAAAUGUUGGGGGUUUCUUGUUUGGACCAGCGUCUCCUCUAUUCAUCGUUGCUCAGAAGUAUGUAAGGUCAAAUAGUUUUGAAAUAUUUUAGGUUAUCGGGUUGUCUGCAAUGCAGGGGAUACAAAACAAUGGCAUGCUGCUCCCUUGAACCGGACACUUCCUGUCAACCCGGCUUUUGCGUAUUACGUCAUAGCCGAUUACGUUUCACGCUGUUGCAUUUAGACCAAUAUUUGGAGUGCACAUAUAUUACAUGCUUUGUUACUUAAAUUCUUUAUAUAAUAUAUUGAUAUAUUUAAUAGAAUGUGUCUUACAUGUUUCCUAAAUAUUAAAUGCGUCAAUUUUGAUGCCCAAAUCUCCCUGGGUAGGCUAUCUUCAACAGUUUAAGUAAAAAUGUGAUAACUUGGUAUUGGCCCCAAAUGUCAUCAAGAAAGAAAUUGAAAUGCCAGUAAAAAAAACAAUGAAAGUUUGUUAUACUGUUAUAUACUAUCACUUUAUAUACAUGGAUUAUUAUUUAACUGUUCAUAUUUUAUUAGUUUAUUUUAUUGCCUAAGUAAUAAUCCCUGUACUGCCUUCAAUGUGGGCAAUUUUAGACGCAUGGCAACACGUCUUGACUGGGGGUGCUCUGCAUUUCUUCUCUUAUCAGUGUGGACCUGACAACCGAAGACAACCAAACUGUGUCUUUUAUGUUAAUGAACCAUUCAGGAGCUAGUUAUAUUGAAGCAUCAGAGUGUCACCACAGUACAGUGUAGUGUGUGAUUUAUCUAGUGACAAGAGAUUGCUGGAAUGAUCCUUUUAACAGCAGUGACACCCAGUACAACUGCCCACCCCAAACAAACAUGUGCUUAGGCGUGCAAUGGUAUUAAUAUUGAAUUUUGACAAUGUACCGGUUCCAUAAAGAAUAGAUAAGCCUAGACACAAAGGUGAAUGAGUCAUCAUUACAACCUAUUGCCACAUCUUUUUUCACAAAGUGCUUCCUAAUGUAUGCAAUAGGAACAGCCUUCAUUGUCUCCAGGGUGUGUGAGUAUCAGCUUGAUGUGCGGGUGUGGGGGUCUAUGACUCCACCAGUUAGUAUCAUGUACGAGUAUAUGAUGGUGUUUUCAAGAUGGUGUAUCAGUUUUAAAAUCCACAUUGUUUCUCUCAGCAGCAAAAUACUGAAGCCCUUAGAAUGAUUCAAACUGAAAGAGGAAGAGGAAGAGAGAUAGACAACUUAAAGUCUUACACCCACAGCCCAUUGUGACAAUUCUGAGAGGAAGUCGCAGGAGCCUGUAUCAGAAAAGAAAUAUAAAGUAAGCCAAGCUUCAUUUAGGCCACUCUUGGAAAUUAAGUCUAGAGCAUGAACUGUGUGGUAAGCUUGUAAAGGGUGAUUGUUCAGUCAUUUAUUAGUUUAAGCAGCUGUUUUGACAUAUGGGCAUGUUUAUUUAUGUUUAUACAUAUACGUAUCAACCAGAAAUUAAACAUUUUCUUCCAUAAAGCUAUACACAGUGUUCAAACAUGUUAUGUUGCCCAAUAUAAAGGAAAUUAAAUGACCUUUGUGUUGUGUCUUGUUUACAGAGAAACUAUGUUCAGGGCCCCUUUAAGAGAUAUUCAGCCAAUUUCCUUAUAAGGCAAUCUCUGGAUGUGUCACAUGGUAUUGUACUUUGGAACGCCAAGGCAAAGUCACAUGACUCUUUAAAGCGGAAAUUAGAAAGAGUGAUUGAGAAUCUGCUUUUCUUUCUCCUUUCAUUGUAUUUAUUCAGUAGGAUUCUAAUUCCUUUCAAAGCAUUAUUGUCUCUUUACUGUAUAUAACAUAGGAGACUAGAAAUACACAAUAAGAUUACAUACAAAAACACUAUAAAUGGCCUACUGACUGUCUCCACCUAUCAGACCUAAAGUACCCUAUAUGGAAACAUUGACAGGUAACACACGCUCAUGCAAAGAUCUGAUGAGAUCUACUGGUGGAUGCUGCUCAAGCAAUGGGAACAGGUACAGACCUUUGCGAUGUGUUUUCCGUGUAUGGCAAUGGGUCAGUCCUGCUUAAUCCUAAGAGCAGUUCAAAGCUCAGUGCUUUGCAUUUAGUUGAGAUAUGUGAUAGAAGCCAACAUUAUAUUGCCUAAUUAGGCUACUACUGUAACAACAAGGGGCAAACUACAAAGAGCUGAAUUUCAACACGCACAAUAUAAUCUGCAGAGAGAUCUGUUGAGUCUGAGUACCACUUAUAGAUCAUGCAAGAUUUUAUGCAAGGAUAUGUAAUACUUUCAUGACAGAAUGGGUUUGGUUUCAAGGUUUCAAGAUACCUUGAUGUAAUGAUAAAAUCUCCAUAUUCAUCGGGAAGAAGGAGGCGGGAACCGGCGCACAAUCAAAAUGAAACUUUAAUAAUCACAAAAUAAACAAAACGCAUCAGCCCCUCACGGAUGACUGAUGCGCACAAAUAAAAAGCAAAACAUAAUCUAAUGCCCAGGCCUGGUCCUCUCUCGUCCUUCACUAUCGUCGCUCCAGUUUUAUAUCCUUCCAUCUCCUACGUGGGACUCGAGACCGGCGGUGGGGCGCAGGUGUCGCUGAUUUCCCAAUCAUUCCGCCAGCCUCACUCCUUGUUCCCACGUCCCUCGGCCCCGCCCCACUCGCCACACUUGACUUUUUGGAAUACCUGCUUUAUCAUGGGAAUAAAUCCCCAACAGACAAAAUGAGAAAGGAGCAGUCCAGAUGUUGCCAUGUUUUUGACUGAUUCGGAGAUACAAAAUAUGUUGUUUGAGCUGAUUGGCCAACAAAAGAGUCUUAACUUCAAAGUGAGAAGAAUGCCACAUUGUACAUCAACAUUUCAGAAUAUAUAUUCUACUUAUUUUUGAGUUAACUGGGCAGAAAGAAAAAACUAAAUCUAGCUUGCAGCAUUAGGAUGCUAUUUUCACAUAAUGGUUUCAUUAGUUGGGUUUGACAGAUUAACCUCAUUAAAUCCAGAGAUUUGCACAUUGUGCAAAAUUAUGCUACUUCAUAGCACACAGUGAUUAUGGGUGUAUCUCCAUCAUGCUGAUUUUGAACUGACAGAACUGACUGGAAGCCUGGAAGCAGGUCAACAAUGUGUAACCCUGGGCCACAUCAGAGUUCAGUCAUUAAGACCGUAAAUGAAGCUUGUUUAAUUAGCUUCUUAUAUGAACGUAACCUAAACAUAACCGUUUUUAGUCUAUGUUUGCAAAUUUUGUAAAUAGAAUUGGAAAUCUGAAAUCAACUACAUCUACAUUUGUCUGUGUAAAAAAUAACUGAUGUGAAUAAUAAAUUAUCCCUGAUGCAAUCAAUAAUUAUACCUCUUGAUGUGUGCAUUUGCAAAAAAGAAAUGGAGAGAAUAUAAGUGAGAGAUUUAAUUUCCAUCAAACAGUCAGCAGAACAUACAGGACAAAAUCAAUAUCCUGUCCUUUACAAGAGGAAGAGGAAAGCUGCUGUUUGCCCUGAAAAUAACCUAAGCAAGUUCCUGCUUCCUUCAACAUUUCCUUAUAUAUAACUGUUUUACUUGAACUUUUUUGAUGCUAUAACAUAUAUAUAUGAUUUAUAUUUAGAUGGAAGAUUUACAUGUAGGAUUCACAGUUAUGUUUAGGAUUUGGAUUUAACAUUUACACUUAACAUUUAAAUUUAGAUUUAACCUUAAAAUAUAACAUUCAGAAUUGAAUAUUUAACAUUUAGAUUUAAAUAGAAGAUUUCGAUAGAUUUGAAAUUGAAGAUUUAGAUAAAAAACUUAGAUUUAGCUUUGGUAUUUUAUUUUUAUAUAGUAAUAAAAAUAUGUGAACAUUUAUUUAGGUAAAUCUUGAAAAAUGUAUUUGUUUUGGUUAAAAUCGGACCGAAGUUUACCAGUUUUUCUUACACAUCUUAUUUUACCAAAGGCGCACCAUAGUUCAAAUGCUGCGAUUAGUUUUUACACCAGAGUCACACCCCUAUUCUUUCUGAGAAAGACCUAUAGGGUUUACUGACAGCAGAGAGUUACAACUUUGGUUUAACAUCACAUUUGAACAAUGGUGCCUUUUAAAUAUUGUCACUUUAGUAGGGCAUUACAUAGAGCACAU
This is a long non-coding RNA of Carassius gibelio (silver crucian carp), 4102 nucleotides long. RefSeq lists it as uncharacterized. Lineage: Eukaryota; Metazoa; Chordata; Actinopteri; Cypriniformes; Cyprinidae. The transcript is spliced from 3 exons. The record is from RefSeq and is a predicted model, not a curated record.